GAUGAACGCUGGCGGCGUGCCUAAUACAUGCAAGUCGAGCGAACAGAUAAGGAGCUUGCUCCUUUGAAGUUAGCGGCGGACGGGUGAGUAACACGUGGGUAACCUACCUAUAAGACUGGGAUAACUUCGGGAAACCGGAGCUAAUACCGGAUAACAUUUAGAACCGCAUGGCUCUAAAGUGAAAGAUGGUUUUGCUAUCACUUAUAGAUGGACCCGCGCCGUAUUAGCUAGUUGGUAAGGUAACGGCUUACCAAGGCGACGAUACGUAGCCGACCUGAGAGGGUGAUCGGCCACACUGGAACUGAGACACGGUCCAGACUCCUACGGGAGGCAGCAGUAGGGAAUCUUCCGCAAUGGGCGAAAGCCUGACGGAGCAACGCCGCGUGAGUGAUGAAGGGUUUCGGCUCGUAAGACUCUGUUAUUAGGGAAGAACAAAUGUGUAAGUAACUGUGCACAUCUUGACGGUACCUAAUCAGAAAGCCACGGCUAACUACGUGCCAGCAGCCGCGGUAAUACGUAGGUGGCAAGCGUUAUCCGGAAUUAUUGGGCGUAAAGCGCGCGUAGGCGGUUUCUUAAGUCUGAUGUGAAAGCCCACGGCUCAACCGUGGAGGGUCAUUGGAAACUGGGAAACUUGAGUGCAGAAGAGGAAAGUGGAAUUCCAUGUGUAGCGGUGAAAUGCGCAGAGAUAUGGAGGAACACCAGUGGCGAAGGCGACUUUCUGGUCUGUAACUGACGCUGAUGUGCGAAAGCGUGGGGAUCAAACAGGAUUAGAUACCCUGGUAGUCCACGCCGUAAACGAUGAGUGCUAAGUGUUAGGGGGUUUCCGCCCCUUAGUGCUGCAGCUAACGCAUUAAGCACUCCGCCUGGGGAGUACGACCGCAAGGUUGAAACUCAAAGGAAUUGACGGGGACCCGCACAAGCGGUGGAGCAUGUGGUUUAAUUCGAAGCAACGCGAAGAACCUUACCAAAUCUUGACAUCCUUUGAAAACUCUAGAGAUAGAGCCUUCCCCUUCGGGGGACAAAGUGACAGGUGGUGCAUGGUUGUCGUCAGCUCGUGUCGUGAGAUGUUGGGUUAAGUCCCGCAACGAGCGCAACCCUUAAGCUUAGUUGCCAUCAUUAAGUUGGGCACUCUAGGUUGACUGCCGGUGACAAACCGGAGGAAGGUGGGGAUGACGUCAAAUCAUCAUGCCCCUUAUGAUUUGGGCUACACACGUGCUACAAUGGACAAUACAAAGGGCAGCUAAACCGCGAGGUCAUGCAAAUCCCAUAAAGUUGUUCUCAGUUCGGAUUGUAGUCUGCAACUCGACUACAUGAAGCUGGAAUCGCUAGUAAUCGUAGAUCAGCAUGCUACGGUGAAUACGUUCCCGGGUCU
Molecule: ribosomal RNA, 1372 nt
Filed under: uncultured bacterium
Lineage: Bacteria
Description: bacterial SSU rRNA
Rfam family: Bacterial small subunit ribosomal RNA
Source: RNAcentral